This 1251-nucleotide ribosomal RNA is filed under the name metagenome. RNAcentral describes it as "bacterial LSU rRNA". It matches the Rfam family "Bacterial large subunit ribosomal RNA", at positions 1635 to 2874 of the family's 2925-position model. The record is from RNAcentral.
UACACGACCGUACCGCAAACCGACACUGGUGCGCGAGAUGAGUAUUCUAAGGCGCUUGAGAGAACUCAGGAGAAGGAACUCGGCAAAUUGACACCGUAACUUCGGAAGAAGGUGUGCCUUUAGUAGGUGAACCAUUUACUUGGGGAGCCCAAUGAGGCUGCAAAAAAAUCGGUGGCUGCAACUGUUUAUUAAAAACACAGCACUCUGCUAAGACGAAAGUCGACGUAUAGGGUGUGACGCCUGCCCGGUGCUGGAAGAUUAAAUGAUGGGGUGCAAGCUCUUGAUUGAAGUCCCAGUAAACGGCGGCCGUAACGAUAACGGUCCUAAGGUAGCGAAAUUCCUUGUCGGGUAAGUUCCGACCUGCACGAAUGGCGUAAUGAUGGCCACACUGUCUCCUCCUGAGACUCAGCGAAGUUGAAAUGUUUGUGAUGAUGCAAUCUCCCCGCGGAAAGACGGAAAGACCCCAUGAACCUUUACUGUAGCUUUGUAUUGGACUUUGAACAGAUCUGUGUAGGAUAGGUGGGAGGCUUUGAAGUGUGGUCGCUAGAUCGCAUGGAGCCAACGUUGAAAUACCACCCUGGUGUGUUUGAGGUUCUAACCUAGGUCCAUUAUCUGGAUCGGGGACAGUGCAUGGUAGGCAGUUUGACUGGGGCGGUCUCCUCCCAAAGUGUAACGGAGGAGUUCGAAGGUACGCUAGGUACGGUCGGACAUCGUGCUAAUAGUGCAAUGGCAUAAGCGUGCUUAACUGCGAGACUGACAAGUCGAGCAGAUGCGAAAGCAGGACAUAGUGAUCCGGUGGUUCUGUAUGGAAGGGCCAUCGCUCAACGGAUAAAAGGUACUCUGGGGAUAACAGGCUGAUACCGCCCAAGAGUUCAUAUCGACGGCGGUGUUUGGCACCUCGAUGUCGGCUCAUCUCAUCCUGGGGCUGUAGCCGGUCCCAAGGGUAUGGCUGUUCGCCAUUUAAAGAGGUACGUGAGCUGGGUUUAAAACGUCGUGAGACAGUUUGGUCCCUAUCUUCCGUGGGCGCUGCAGAUUUGAGGAAGCCUGCUCCUAGUACGAGAGGACCGGAGUGGACGAACCUCUGGUGUAUCGGUUGUCACGCCAGUGGCAUUGCCGAGUAGCUAAGUUCGGAAGAGAUAACCGCUGAAAGCAUCUAAGCGGGAAACUCGUUUCAAGAUUAGAUCUGCCGGGGCCUUGAGCCCCCUAAAGAGUCGUUCAAGACCAGGACGUUGAUAGGUCAGGUGUGGAAGC